RNAcentral lists this ribosomal RNA (177 nucleotides) under Sternotherus carinatus (Razorback musk turtle). RNAcentral's name for it is "partial 12S rRNA". Lineage: Eukaryota; Metazoa; Chordata; Testudines; Kinosternidae. The record is from RNAcentral.
CACCGCGGCCAUACAAGAAGCUCAAACUAACAAACAACGGCGUAAAAUGUGACUAAAAUAAUCUAAAAAAUUAAGGUAAAACCAUUACUUAACUGUUAUACGUAAAAGUACACACUUACACACUAUGAAAAUAACCUUAAUAAAAUAGAUCUAUUCGAACUCACGAUUGCUAAGACA